UCUCUCCCCUGCCUAUUGAUUUCCCCCAGCCACCAUUUUUCAUCGUGUUUUAUUGGAAACAGUGCUAUUUCUGGGUGGGUAGCACCAAGCUGAAUACUUUGUGGAGCAAACAACUGUACAAUAAAGAUUUUGAACCAAAUUUAUAUUCUCUUCCAGGAGUGAAAUCAGAUUUGCUAUCUGACAGACUUCUUGCUGGUGGUGGUUGGAAGGACUUUGCAAGUCUCAUUUGCAGUUUUCCCACUGUUUCCCUGAACAUCUGCAAGACAGCCCAUCUGGGUUGACACAGUGUGAGAUGAGGCAGACAGGCAUUGCCAACAAAGGGCUCCUACUGC
RNAcentral lists this long non-coding RNA (332 nucleotides) under Numida meleagris (helmeted guineafowl). RNAcentral describes it as "lncRNA (ENSNMEG00000019048.1)". Lineage: Eukaryota; Metazoa; Chordata; Aves; Galliformes; Numididae. The record is from RNAcentral.